RNAcentral lists this ribosomal RNA (216 nucleotides) under Glomeromycotina sp. RNAcentral's name for it is "partial small subunit ribosomal RNA". The stretch from base 40 to 216 matches the Rfam family "Eukaryotic small subunit ribosomal RNA", at positions 686 to 864 of the family's 1831-position model. Lineage: Eukaryota; Fungi; Glomeromycota. The record is from RNAcentral.
GGGUCAGUAGGUUGGUCGUGCCACCGGUACGUACUGGUCUCACUGAUUCCUCCUUCCUGAAGAACCGUAAUGCCAUUAAUUUGGUGUUGCGGGGAAACAGGACUGUUACUUUGAAAAAAUUAGAGUGUUUAAAGCAGGCUAACGCUUGAAUACAUUAGCAUGGAAUAGUGAAAUAGGACGAUCGAUCCUAUUUUGUUGGUUUCCAGGAUUGACGUA